Molecule: long non-coding RNA, 718 nt
Filed under: Rattus norvegicus (Norway rat)
Lineage: Eukaryota; Metazoa; Chordata; Mammalia; Rodentia; Muridae
Description: long non-coding RNA NONRATT009841
Source: RNAcentral
CUCAGAGGGAUGGACGGGGUGUCAGAGUUGGAAUCAGAAUCUGGUCUGAUGCGAUGCGCAGCGCGUCUUCCAUGAAGGAAUGAGAACAGCAGGUUACAGAGGUCCCAGGCCCCUGAGGGGGAGCGAGGCAGCCAAUCUCACACUCUGGUUUGUUCCUCCAACGGUGACACGGCUUUUGAGCUGUGAACACCGAGGCUGGAGACUGACACCCAACGUGGAUUCAGCGUGGGAGCGAGACACAGUAUUUAUCUGUUUAUGUAUCUGUGAUAAAGUCUCUGGGGCUGGAGCGACGGCUCAGCGGUUAGAGCACUGACUGCUCUUCCUAAGCACCCGAGUUCAAUUCCCAGAAGCCACAUGGUGGCUCACAACCAUCUGUAAUGAGAUCUGAUGCCCUCUUCUGGUGUGUCUGAAGAAAGCCACAGUACUCCCACACAGAAAAUAAAUAAAUCUUUUCUUUUUAAGUCUUUUAGAGCCCAGGCUAGCCUUUUGUCUCUACUUCACUAUGCCUGACUAAUAAGUGAUUUGAUUUAAAAGUACAUCCAUGUAUUUAUUAUCCCUGUGUGUGCCACAGUACACACGUGGAGGCCGGAGGACCUGUGUGGGAGUCAGCUCUGUUUCCUCACCAUUUGGGUCUUGCAGCUCUGACUCAGGUCGUCAGGCUUGGGAGCAAGCAAGCAUCUUUACCCACCAGACCGUCUCAUCAGCCCCAUUCAUAAUU